RNAcentral lists this transfer RNA (69 nucleotides) under Archilochus colubris. Its description in RNAcentral is "tRNA-Asp". The record is from RNAcentral. Lineage: Eukaryota; Metazoa; Chordata; Aves; Apodiformes; Trochilidae.
AAGAUGUUAGUAAAACCAUUACAUAGCCUUGUCAAGGCUAAAUCACAGAUGAAAACCCUGUACAUCUUA